Molecule: ribosomal RNA, 513 nt
Filed under: uncultured bacterium
Lineage: Bacteria
Description: partial 16S ribosomal RNA
Rfam family: Bacterial small subunit ribosomal RNA
Source: RNAcentral
GACGAACGCUGGCGGCGUGCUUAACACAUGCAAGUCGAACGAAAAGAGGGAAAGUGCUUGCUCUUUCCGGAAUUGAGUGGCGAACGGGUGAGUAACACGUAAACCACCUGCCUUCAGGAUGGGGACAACAGACGGAAACGACUGCUAAUACCGAAUAAGUGCCAAAAGCCGCAUGGCCGAUGGAAGAAAAGGUGGCCGCUACCUGUAAGCCAUCGCAUGAAGAGGGGGUUGCGUCUGAUUAGCUUGGUGGGGGGGGAAGGGCGCACCAAGGAGACGAACAGUAGCCGGACGGAGAGGAUGGACGGCCACACUGGAAGUGAGACAUGGUCCACAAGCAUAGGGGAGGCAGCCGUGGUGAAUCUUGAGCAAGGGGCGAAAACCUGACGGAGAAAGGCGGAGGGCGGGUUGAGGGACUCCGGGUGGGAAAAGUCGGUGAUCGGGGACGAAAAGGCAGAGUGCGAAGAACAAGCUGCAUUGACGGUACCGGAAAAGCAAGCCACGGCUAACUACGUG